This 708-nucleotide long non-coding RNA is filed under the name Marmota monax (woodchuck). Lineage: Eukaryota; Metazoa; Chordata; Mammalia; Rodentia; Sciuridae. The record is from RNAcentral.
GAAAAAUAUAUUAAUAUAACAACCAGAUGGAAAAACUAAUAAUCCAUGUGCAACAUUUUCAGCAGUUAGAUGACAGUGCAUCUUGAUGAACUCCAAACUAAAAGUGUAUAGGGCAAACCACCUACAGUAACAAGACCUGUAGUUACUGGAACCUGUUCAAAUGAAAUAAAAGGAAAGGAACAGGAAGGAAUGGAUCUGAGAAAAAAGGUAUAAUGGAAACCUGAACCAUGGAAGAAGACUUAAGACACAUUAAAUACACAAAAUCUGUAUGAGUAACUUACAGUAUCUAGGAAUAUACUUUUGUGUGAAAAAAUUGUAAAGAAACAAAUGGAAGUGAUUGCAUGUAGAUGACUAUACACUGGAAGGAAAUUGGAGGUAAAAUUGCUGCAGGGCUUGAAGAACAUCGGGGAUAAUGGGAAAUGUAUAUUUCUUGACUUGGGUAGUUCAAAGAGGGUUUGUUUUGAAAAUAAUGAAAUGUGAUACAAAUUUGUUUCAUUUGUUUUUCUGUAGAUGUUUUAUAGUAAUGUUUUAAAAUAACAAUCAUUUGCUCUCUGAUAGAUUAAUAAAAAUGAAAUUUAUAGAAAUGAGUAUUUUCUUGAUACAACUCAACUCUAAAUUUUACAAGAGUGAAAUAAUAAGUCAUACAAUGUUAAAAGGCAUGUGCAGUGUUAUAUAGAUGCCUAUGAGCAGAUGUAAAACUUGCUUCCA